GCUAGUCUGCAGUCGAGAUUCCUACGGGAGGCAGCAGUAGGGAAUCUUGGACAAUGGGCGCAAGCCUGAUCCAGCCAUGCCGCGUGAGUGAAGAAGGCCUUAGGGUCGUAAAGCUCUUUCGCCUGUGAUGAUAAUGACAGUAGCAGGUAAAGAAACCCCGGCUAACUCCGUGCCAGCAGCCGCGGUAAUACGGAGGGGGUUAGCGUUGUUCGGAAUUACUGGGCGUAAAGCGCGCGUAGGCGGAUUGGAAAGUUAGAGGUGAAAUCCCGGGGCUCAACCCCGGAACGGCCUUUAAAACUCCCAGUCUAGAGUUCGAGAGAGGUGAGUGGAAUUCCAAGUGUAGAGGUGAAAUUCGUAGAUAUUUGGAGGAACACCAGUGGCGAAGGCGGCUCACUGGCUCGAUACUGACGCUGAGGUGCGAAAGUGUGGGGAGCAAACAGGAUUAGAUACCCUGGUAGUCCACACCGUAAACGAUGAAUGCCAGUCGUCGGAUAGUAUACUAUUCGGUGACACACCUAACGGAUUAAGCAUUCCGCCUGGGGAGUACGGUCGCAAGAUUAAAACUCAAAUGAAUUGACGG
Molecule: ribosomal RNA, 580 nt
Filed under: uncultured Alphaproteobacteria bacterium
Lineage: Bacteria; Pseudomonadati; Pseudomonadota; Alphaproteobacteria
Description: bacterial SSU rRNA
Rfam family: Bacterial small subunit ribosomal RNA
Source: RNAcentral